UAGAUACCCUGGUAGUCCGCGCGGUAAACGAUGGAUGCUCGUUGUUGGUAUUUUAUAUAUCAGUGACUUAGCGAAAGCGUUAAGCAUCCCACCUGGGGAGUACGCCGGCAACGGUGAAACUCAAAGGAAUUGACGGGGGCCCGCACAAGCGGAGGAACAUGUGGUUUAAUUCGAUGAUACGCGAGGAACCUUACCCGGCUUGAACUGCCGGCGAACGAUUCAGAGAUGAUGAGGCCUUUCGGGGCGCCGG
This 250-nucleotide ribosomal RNA is filed under the name uncultured bacterium. Its description in RNAcentral is "partial 16S ribosomal RNA". It matches the Rfam family "Bacterial small subunit ribosomal RNA", at positions 779 to 1032 of the family's 1533-position model. The record is from RNAcentral.